CCUACGGGUGGCAGCAGUGAGGAAUAUUGGUCAAUGGCCGUAAGGCUGAACCAGCCAAGUCGCGUGAAGGAAGAAGGUUCUACGGUUUGUAAACUUCUUUUAUCGGGGAAUAAAGGUAUCCACGAGUGCCUAUUUGCAUGUACCUUAAGAAAAAGCAUCGGCUAACUCCGUGCCAGCAGCCGCGGUAAUACGGAGGAUGCGAGCGUUAUCCGGAUUUAUUGGGUUUAAAGGGUGCGUAGGUGGUGUUUUAAGUCAGCGGUGAAAGUCUGUGGCUCAACCCCAAACAUGCCGUUGAAACUGGAAGCCUUGAGUGUGUGUGAGGUAGGCGGAAUGCGUGGUGUAGCGGUGAAAUGCAUAGAUAUCACGCAGAACUCCGAUUGCGAAGGCAGCAUAC
Molecule: ribosomal RNA, 394 nt
Filed under: uncultured bacterium
Lineage: Bacteria
Description: partial 16S ribosomal RNA
Rfam family: Bacterial small subunit ribosomal RNA
Source: RNAcentral